RNAcentral lists this ribosomal RNA (611 nucleotides) under uncultured bacterium. RNAcentral describes it as "bacterial SSU rRNA". It matches the Rfam family "Bacterial small subunit ribosomal RNA", at positions 786 to 1398 of the family's 1533-position model. The record is from RNAcentral.
CCUCGUAGUCCAUGCCGUAAACGAUGUGUGUUAGACGUUGGAAAUUUAUUUUCAGUGUCGCAGGGAAACCGAUAAACACACCGCCUGGGGAGUACGACCGCAAGGUUAAAACUCAAAUGAAUUGACGGGGACCCGCACAAGUAGUGGAGCAUGUGGUUUAAUUCGAAGAUACGCGCAGAACCUUACCAACACUUGACAUGUUCGUCGCGACUCUAAGAGAUUAGAGUUUUCGGUUCGGCCGGACGAAACACAGGUGCUGCAUGGCUGUCGUCAGCUCGUGUCGUGAGAUGUUGGGUUAAGUCCCGCAACGAGCGCAACCCUCACUUUUAGUUGCCAUCAUUAAGUUGGGCACUCUGAAAGAACUGCCAGUGAUAAGCUGGAGGAAGGUGGGGAUGACGUCAAGUCUUCAUGGCCCUUACGUGUUGGGCUACACACGUGCUACAAUGGCAUCUACAACAGGAAGCAAAACGGCAACGUUAAGCAAAUCCCGAAAAGAUGCCUCAGUUCGGAUUGCACUCUGCAACUCGAGUGCAUGAAGCUGGAAUUACUAGUAAUCGUGGAUCAGCGUGCCACGGUGAAUGCGUUCCCGGGUCUUGUACACACCGCCCGUC